GACUGCGAGUUUGACUCAUGGAUAAAACCGUGCGUACCAGGAAUGAAGAUCCAGAACUGGAAAGCCGAAAAGAUCAUCACUGUCACUCUGCGUGAAGAGUAAUAUUUCUGUUUUUCAAUUCUGUUUGCAUGAAAGCCAUACGUUUUGCCCAAAACGUAAUGGUCCAUUGUAAGGGCCACCUCAUGUGUUUCAUUUUGCAUUGUUUGCAUCAUUAAUAAAC
This 220-nucleotide long non-coding RNA is filed under the name Lathyrus oleraceus (garden pea). RNAcentral's name for it is "Pisum sativum (pea) long non-coding RNA (PSAT_LNC024947)". Lineage: Eukaryota; Viridiplantae; Streptophyta; Magnoliopsida; Fabales; Fabaceae. The record is from RNAcentral.